This is a long non-coding RNA of Notolabrus celidotus (New Zealand spotty), 597 nucleotides long. RefSeq lists it as uncharacterized. The transcript has 4 exons. NCBI's taxonomy places the organism in Eukaryota, Metazoa, Chordata, Actinopteri, Labriformes, Labridae. The record is from RefSeq and is a predicted model, not a curated record.
CAGCUGCGCCUUCAAAGUCCCUCUAAGCUCACUGCUCUUCCUCAGUUGGACUCACAGAAGCUCCCAGGAGACAGAACAAUGUUAGAAACCAGGACUCUCCAGGGUUCAUCCCUCCCUGCCCUCCUGCUGUGCUUGUCUCAUGGGCCCAGCAGAGGACACGUGUGUGAGCCAGAUGGAGGAUGACUGCUGUGUUUGAGCUUCCUCAUAAAGCUUCAGCUCAAACACAGACUGUAGGAACAAGCAGGCUGUGUGUGCAGCAUGAGACCAUGAGUCCAGGGAGAAUCUCUGACCAGAAUGCUCCUCUUUACACAAAGCCAUGUGCAGAAUGAAGGUGUGAUCUGCAAAUGAAACCAGAGAGGUGCUGCAGCAGGCUCUGCUAAGCCGUCACAUUGAGAGCUGAUACCUGACAGGUAAUCCAGAAGACACUGGAGACACCUGAGGGAGGACUGAUCCAUGGAGAUUUGCUUUCUUCUUCCAUCUUAUGCCAAAAUGCAAAAAUAUCCAAUGUGAUGCAAUACAUCCAAACAUUAUAAAUCCUGUAUUGAUGCAAUGUCUCAGAUCAAUGUGUUGUCUUCAAUAAAAGAAAGUUGGACUCAG